Long non-coding RNA from Manacus vitellinus (golden-collared manakin), 1929 nucleotides. RefSeq lists it as uncharacterized. Lineage: Eukaryota; Metazoa; Chordata; Aves; Passeriformes; Pipridae. The record is from RefSeq and is a predicted model, not a curated record. The transcript has 4 exons.
GGAGGUGACGUCACAGGGCUGUGAGGGCGGGAAGGGGCGAUGGCGGCGCUGAGGGGACGGGAUGACGGGGCACCCUCAGGCUGGGCAGGGGCUGUGCAGCGCACACAAGCGUGCAGCACACUCAGGGGAACACCCCAAUCUGCCGCCGCACCGCUGCGGACUGACUGUGCACACUGAGCAAAAACCAACACACGAGGAACGCUCCAGGAUUCCAGAAUUGCUGUGACAUUACAGGACUCGGAGUGCAUUCAGUUUUUUCUAGCAAGACGCAUAAUAUUCAUGUUUAUGCACACUAAAAGUCCAUCACACCUCUUCUUGUGUGACAGGUGAUAAAGCUGUACCACAUUAAUUCUUCCUCUCCCUGAACACUGCCACAGACAACCACUGGGCGACAGCACCCGAGAGCCAAACUGAAGGAGCGGGGACAGGGAUCAUUUCCAUCGGUACUUCACAUAAUUGCCCUCCACAUCCUCGACACCAAACGACUUUGCUCCUUAACGGCCCAGACACCUCAAGUAGGAAGAGGAGAUCCCACACUGAGGGUUCCAAAGCCCAGAGCCACAGCCGGAGUGGUGGAGCUCAGCAGCAGCAGGACAGGGGGAUGUGUACUGGGGAAAAAAAACCCAGUGCUGACAAGUCCAAUUAAUAUUUCAACAACACUGAAUGACAGAAUUCUGUAUUCAAACAGAGUUUAAUACAGAGAUCUGACUACCAAGCUCAUGCAUUAACUCAUCCACGAUGAACCAGAAGCAGCGGUGACAACAGCCCAUAAAAGAAUUGGCAAGCGUAAAAUGGAAAUGACUUUUACAAAAAGGUGCUGAAAGAAUGGGAUGUUAAAUGAAGAUACAGGAUCACCUACAAGAAAAUUGAUCACCAUCUUGGAAUGCUGCUGAAGGCUAAAUUCCAACCAUCACUGUCAGCUCCUGAGACCAACUUCUUGAUUGAUGCAUGGUCUGAGAAACUCAAUCACUGUCAGCCUCUUCUUACUGCGUUUUCAUGGGAAUAUAUUCUAUAAAGUUUCAGCCUGGAGAAACCCCAAGAGCGAAGAACUGUCCUUCUACUUGGAGCUGACCUGCCAAACAAUCACCCUCUUACCUGUUUCAAGAGUGCCAGGAUGUACAGUGGGAAGAGGCGCAGGGAGUGGGGGGCAGUGAGCCCGGGCUGCUGGAUGCUCAGCACCGAUGACCGGUAAGCGGACAAGGAGUCGAUCACGGCGUUCACCAGGGCGUCCCGAGCAUCGCUCAGCGUGGCAGACACUGAUCUGUCCACAGCUAAAAACAGAGCACAGAGCUCAAGUAAGAGCCUUUUCCUCCCUUGGCAGGAAUACAGUCACGUACGUUAACUCUUCUCACUUUAUUGUAUACUUUGAUGCAUCCCAACAAGCUUUCACUGCAUUCCAGAGGAAGUGAUUCAGAAAAAAAGCCAGGGGCCUGUGAUGAUGCACCAGACUAAGCCUAAGUCCAGAGGAUUAUUGCUCAGAGGUUUAAGGAUGGGAUCCAUGCAUACCCACACAGGCUCUGAGCACACUUACCCAUGUUGGCCAAGAGCCCAGUGAUGGCCUGCACGUCUGCCCCCAGGUACACAUCACUCAGUGUGGUCACCACAGGUAAGCACAUGGUGUGCACACGAAUUCGUCUUUCACCUGCAGGAAAAGAAAACUGUUGUCUCCCAACAUACUUGUUUUAUGAAAUACUAAAAUGCCACUGUUUGCCCAACCUAGUUUAUCAUACAGAUGGUGAAUCAGGCCAUUUUCAAUAGCCCUUAAAAUGAUUAGUUCUCAGUUUCUGGGUUAAGCCUACUUAUUUUCAGACCAAAACUAUGUUUCCCAAGAAACUUCUCGGUCUGAAAAAAGCAACAAUAUCAACGACAUACCCAAGCUGUGAUCCUGAUAUUAAAUUAAGCAGUUUGAGUAAGUUACUGCAGCUGAAC